CGCGUGGCGGACGGGUGCGUAACACAUGGAUAACCUUCCUUGAGGUGGGGAAUAACCCAGUGAAAAUUGGGCUAAUACCGCAUAACAUCGCGAUGGCACAUGCUGAUGCGAUCAAAGGCGCAAGUCGCCACAAGAGGGAUCCGCGGCCGAUUAGCUUGUUGGCGAGGUAAUGGCUCACCAAGGCAAUGAUCGGUAGCCGGACUGAGAGGUUGGCCGGCCACACUGGAACUGAGACACGGUCCAGACUCCUACGGGAGGCAGCAGUGGGGAAUCUUGCACAAUGGACGAAAGUCUGAUGCAGCAACGCCGCGUGGGGGAUGAAGCUUCUCGGAGUGUAAACCCCUUUCGACCCGGAAGAAUGCCCGCAAGGGUAUGACGGUACAGGUACGGGUAUAAAAAGCCCCGGCUAACUACGUGCCAGCAGCCGCGGUAAUACGGGGGCCAGCGUUGCUCGGAAUUACUGGGCGUAAAGGGUCCGUAGGCGGUGUAGCAAGUCGAUAGUGAACCUCUGUGCUUAACGCAGAGGCUGCUAACGA
RNAcentral lists this ribosomal RNA (536 nucleotides) under uncultured bacterium. RNAcentral's name for it is "bacterial SSU rRNA". It matches the Rfam family "Bacterial small subunit ribosomal RNA", at positions 92 to 630 of the family's 1533-position model. The record is from RNAcentral.